CGACGCAGCAACGCCGCGUGUGUGAUGAAGGCCUCGGGUUGUAAAGCACUGUCAGGAGGGAAGAAACGCCUUGGGAUAUACCCCGGGGCUAUGACGGUACCUCCGAAGGAAGCACCGGCUAACUCCGUGCCAGCAGCCGCGGCAAUACGGAGGGUGCGAGCGUUGUUCGGAAUCAUUGGGCGUAAAGCGCGUGUAGGUGGGCGGGUAAGUCAGGUGUGAAAGCCCAGAGCUCAACUCUGGAAUUGCGCUUGAAACUACUCGUCUUGAGUACGGGAGAGGGAAGCGGAAUUCUUGGUGUAGGGGUGAAAUCCGUAGAUAUCAGGAGGAACACCGACGGCGAAGGCAGCUUCCUGGACCGAUACUGACACUGAGACGCGAAAGCGUGGGGAGCAAACAGGAUUAGAUACCCUGAUAGUCCACGCCGUAAACGAUGUUCACUAGAUGCCGUGGGUAUUGACCCCUGCGGUGUCGUAGCCAACGCGUUAAGUGAACCGCCUGGGGAGUACGGCCGCAAGGUUA
This 519-nucleotide ribosomal RNA is filed under the name uncultured Pseudomonadota bacterium. RNAcentral describes it as "bacterial SSU rRNA". It matches the Rfam family "Bacterial small subunit ribosomal RNA", at positions 384 to 896 of the family's 1533-position model. Lineage: Bacteria; Pseudomonadati; Pseudomonadota. The record is from RNAcentral.